UGCCCGAUGCUUCCCCUGGCAACCUGGA
Molecule: non-coding RNA, 28 nt
Filed under: Homo sapiens (human)
Lineage: Eukaryota; Metazoa; Chordata; Mammalia; Primates; Hominidae
Source: RNAcentral